AAAAGCACAGAUGUUUAACUGGUAAACAGUCAAAUGAUGUAUUUAGACAGCUGACUCAUAACUGCUCCACAUGUUCACGUCACUGCCAAAUUUAAAGCCUCUAUUUAACGCAAGUGUUUUAGUUCUUGUUGAAACAGACUGAAGAUUUGUUCUCUAAACUAGACUUUAUCACUGAUCCGUGUGGACGACCAACUCUUUGAUUUCAUUAGAUUAUCAAAAUAUAACAGAGAGAAAGUGAAGAACUGUCACACACUCAGGCUCCACUUUCAGUCUAGUUUAAUGAGAUGAUGUUUCUGCCCCUCAGGCCUUCUUCAAGAUCAGGACACACUGAAACACAGCCACUCAUGUUAUAACGGCCGCCCCCAAGUAACAACCUCCAACACUGAUGUGAGGACAAAACAAUCAAGGAGCCGACUGUGACUGAAUAUAGUGACAGGACACAAACUUCUUCUACAGUAAAAAGAAGAAAAUAAUGUUUUACACCACAUGUCAGGAUUCAGACUCGACAAUACUUUACACAUGCGUGAUUCGAUUCUAAGAGGAGUUUGAAGUGGUACUGAAUACCAAGCAGUACAUCUGCAGAACUGGGUUUCCAGAGCAGCGAGCUGAGCAGGUCGUCUGGCGGAUUUGACGGUUAAGCUAGCAGGAUGACGAGCGCACACCCACCGCUGCAGGUCAUGUGCUGCCCGAACACCAACGUUAGCUCACACCGACGGAGAGCGUCCGUG
This is a long non-coding RNA of Acanthopagrus latus (yellowfin seabream), 728 nucleotides long. RefSeq lists it as uncharacterized. The record is from RefSeq and is a predicted model, not a curated record. NCBI's taxonomy places the organism in Eukaryota, Metazoa, Chordata, Actinopteri, Spariformes, Sparidae. The transcript has 3 exons.